UACCGCGGUCUCAAGCGUUGUUCGGAUUCAUUGGGCGUAAAGGGUGUGUAGGUGGCGCCGUAAGUCGGGUGUGAAAUUUCGGAGCUUAACUCCGAAACUGCAUUCGAUACUGCGGUGCUUGAGGACUGGAGAGGAGACUGGAAUUCAUGGUGUAGCAGUGAAAUGCGUAGAGAUCAUGAGGAAGACCAGUGGCGAAGGCGGGUCUCUGGACAGUUCCUGACACUGAGACACGAAGGCCAGGGGAGCAAACGGG
Molecule: ribosomal RNA, 253 nt
Filed under: uncultured bacterium
Lineage: Bacteria
Description: partial 16S ribosomal RNA
Rfam family: Bacterial small subunit ribosomal RNA
Source: RNAcentral